AGGGUGAGGGUGAGGGUGAGGGUGGGAGUGGGGGUGAGGGUGUCAUAUUAUCAUAUGCCUGCUUAGACUAUAAUUUACACCUCUAAGGAGACAAAUUGGAUGGAUCAAAACUAUAUCAAAACACACUUUAUUCACAAUGUCUACAGUAAGUGCGAAAAACCACCCGCUCCACCACCAAAGUAACUUUCAUGGAAUCCGAAACGUCCCAUUCUGGUAAAAGCAAAUCCUUCUCCGCCACAGACGUCAAUGCCUACUUUUCUUAAUAAUCUGUACAUUGAAUAAUAGCAGAUAGCGGAACAUUGAACAUGCUGUGUCUGAGUCAAAACUCGGGACUGGACAGUUGAUAACUUUCUUAUCAUCUUAGACGAAUUCCAUGGGCCUAGUUAACCUUUACCAAACCUUAUGAAUAAAGUCGAGCUAAAGCACGAAAAAGUUGCCGAUAUUUGUUUGAUGAAGCACCUUUGGACUCCUAUCUAGUCCAUGAGAAGCCACCAUAUGAGUUAAGGCUGCAUAGCGUUCCUCAUUUAGGUACAAUGGCUUUCCACGAUUCAUUCCAGAAUCCUCUUCACCAAAUGCAUCUAAGUAUGGGGAAGGCCAUGAUGCCUGACGAGCAGAUCUUUGAAGUAACACUGUCGUUUUUUUGAUUAAUAAGAACACCCCAGUACCCGCUCCACAUGCCAUUGCAUGUGUUUGGCACCCACUUUCCCUGCAGCAUGGCUUCCAAUUCGGAGAGCAGAGUCUACCACACAAUAAGCACAAUGCCGGCUCCUCCAAAACAACUCCACAGUCUGGACAAUUUUGUUUAAUAUACCUCUGUAGGAGGUCCUGGUAAAGAUGAGGCAAAAGCAUCAGUUUAAAUGGAACUGCAGGGCUAGAAUACAUAGCACCAUUCAACAUGCGAGCUUCAAACUGCUUGGAGAAACGACGCAGCCAACUUGGAACCACAAAACGUACUGUUUCAUCACUAAUAACAUCAUCAAGUGGGGGAAUCUUAAAUAACUUCUCCAACUUUUCAAUCUCAUUGAACUCAACUGGUAUGUUUCCCCCACAUUCCAUUGUUUCACCCAUUGAAUAUGGUAAUCCAUCUAAUAUGUUACUGCCGCCACUAAAUGGUGCUGAUACAGAAGAACGAACCAAUUUCCACAACAAUGCGCAUCUUCUUAAAUAAGGAAAACUCAGGCUACGGAUUGCAUCUUUGACAUCAUGUGUUUCAAUAUGAUUAGAAUCAAAAUCUUUGUAAGCCACUCCAUUUUCCGCAAUUAUUCUAUAGAUGUCAGUAACUAGAGAAUCACUACAUCCUGACAUAGAUAAACUACUUUGAAGCUUUCUACUAUAGGUAAUUACAAUCUGAGUAAUAGUGACAACAUAGAAAAGAUGAACAAGACACAGGAAUGAUUUCUCGCACGACAAAAAUUGGCAUGGGAGGCAAUAUAACACCCACGUUAAUGAUGAAAAAGCAUCAUGUGCAAGAACUGGAUCAGAGCAUCGUUUCCAGAACUGAAUAUCAGGGUACUGUAAUUCCGUCUCAGAAAAUUCCAAGAUGUCUUGCAUAUUACCUCCAACAAUAGGACUAUCUGGAUACUCAUCUGCAGAAAUGUCUGAGCAUAUAGACUUCACAAACAGCUGAAUUCCUCUUAACCUCAACAGGACAGUAAGUGAGUCCUUUGACCGUGUGCUUUGUACAAUGCUUAGUAAUAAGGCUAAUAUAAAACAGUUUGUAGAUUUGAGUUCUUUGUACAGAGCACCAAGGCUGUAGUUUGGAGCUAAAGAAGUAUUCCCAGAUCGAGCAGCAAUUUCUGUCGAUAUAAGGGAGUACUUGAGUGUGUCAAACAAAAUCAGAGAGUGACUAAGCCUACCAGAUUCUGAAAUCUUAUCCUUGUCCGGAAAAUACAUUUCACACAAUAUCCGAACCACAUAAUCAAGAUUUACUCUCAUCUGCCCGAAUUGCUGCACUGGAAGACUCUGUAAAAUCUCUCUACUUCCAGCAACAUCAGCUGCACUUUGCAGGAGAAAUAAAACUUCUUGAAAACGAAGCGUUGGAAGGCCUACAGCAUCUGAUGGAUCAGUUGAAAGAGACGGUGUUGACCUUUUAGUUUCGGCAGGUAAUGCUGGCAGAACUGAGUUAGCAAGUCCACGGCAUACAGGACAGAGAAACUCCCCCUGAUCAGGAUCAACAAUAUGACCCCCUUCGAAAACAAUUUGUCUGGUAUAUCUUUCCUUUAGUGAAGAUAAAUAGCGGUCAAGACAUCCCUGAUGCACA
RNAcentral lists this unclassified non-coding RNA (2260 nucleotides) under Hevea brasiliensis (rubber tree). The record is from RNAcentral. Lineage: Eukaryota; Viridiplantae; Streptophyta; Magnoliopsida; Malpighiales; Euphorbiaceae.